GGAUGAACGCUGGCGGCGUGCCUAACACAUGCAAGUCGAGCGAUCUUCUUCGGAAGAGAGCGGCGGACGGGUGAGUAACGCGUGGGUAACCUGCCUCAUACACAUGGAUAACAUACCGAAAGGUAUGCUAAUACAAGAUGAUAUAAGAGAUUCGCAUGGGUUUCUUAUCAAAGCUUUUGCGGUAUGAGAUGGACCCGCGUCUGAUUAGCUAGUUGGUAAGGUAAUGGCUUACCAAGGCGACGAUCAGUAGCCGACCUGAGAGGGUGAUCGGCCACAUUGGAACUGAGACACGGUCCAAACUCCUACAGGAGGCAGCAGUGGGGAAUAUUGCACAAUGGGCGAAAGCCUGAUGCAGCAACGCCGCGUGAGCGAUGAAGGCCUUCGGGUCGUAAAGCUCUGUCCUCAAGGAAGAUAAUGACGGUACUUGAGGAGGAAGCCCCGGCUAACUACGUG
This 453-nucleotide ribosomal RNA is filed under the name uncultured bacterium. RNAcentral describes it as "bacterial SSU rRNA". It matches the Rfam family "Bacterial small subunit ribosomal RNA", at positions 27 to 507 of the family's 1533-position model. The record is from RNAcentral.